Molecule: long non-coding RNA, 572 nt
Filed under: Pan troglodytes (chimpanzee)
Lineage: Eukaryota; Metazoa; Chordata; Mammalia; Primates; Hominidae
Description: long non-coding RNA NONPTRT007565
Source: RNAcentral
UAGCUCCACGGUAACCUGAGAGAUGGCCUGGAGGCAGGGUGGCAUGUUGUUUUUAAAGUGAUACAAGAGACACAGUGGAGACCGUCCAAUGAGUGGCAUGGCUGCCAGGAUGCCAACUGGGACACUAAAGCCCUGGCAGUGGGGGCUGCCCAGCAGGGCUGGCCACUGGAAAUAAGAGAUGCAAAUUCAUCUUCUAUCAUAGCCAAAGAAGACCAACAAAGACCAACAGAGGCCAUGUCUCGCAUUCAGCUCCAACAGCAGGCAGUAGAUUUGUUACAGAGACUAAAACCCACCUUAUUGCCAAGUGACCCUCCUCUCACCAGCCUCCCCUGCUGCCACCCAAAUUCCUGCCACUGAACUACUCCUCAAAAUAAAACACAGCUGUAAAAUGCACACCUGUUUUGGAUUAGUUACAAUAAAUCAGGAUCUGUAUUUAUUUCAGUUCCCCAGACAGGUGAAGAACAAGCUGCGUUUAUAGCAAGCCAACUAGAAAGCAGAAGAAAAUUCCAGUCACGAGUUUUUGUUUUUCCUCUUAGGGCAAAGGAGGUUACACUUGAGGAGCCUAAAUUUCU